UCUUUUUUGAUAUAAAUUCCCUAACAUUUUUUCUAAGGGGUGCGGACGAAAAAUUCCAAUGGGUGCGGUCGGAUUUUUCAAGGGGUGCGGACGAAAAUUUCCGAGGGGUGCGAUCAGAAUUUUUCACGAAAAAUACCACUAAAUUUUUUUUUUCUAUGGGUGCGGCCGCCCACCCACCACAUAAGAUAAGAUGGGUCCGCCCCUGCUCCAGAUAGCUUGUUGGAGAAACGAGUGUACAAUCACAAUUACAUAAAAAAAAGAAUCUGUGAAAUAUAAAAAACACGAAUGAAUGAUGUAAAAAAGAAAAACGAACCAGAUGUUCCAAUUCAGGUGGAAACUUGUGCGAUUUAAGGAGCUUAGCAUGCUUGUUAGAGAAACGAGUGUCUUGAUCAGCCGUAGUGCCCUAACAGAAUAUCAAAUUCAUCAGUUUGAUCAGCGUUAACCUAGAAAAGCUGUUGAUGAUGCAAUUCGGAUGAAUGUAAAGCGUACGAUAGUGAAAGGUUUUGAAAGCUGUUGGGGAUUAUUUGUAAAGGGUGAUGAUGGUACAAGUACAACCCGCUGGUGAAAGACGAAAACGUUCCUGGUAACGUGAUAUAAACUACAUAGAAUUUUGGAAGUAUUCAUUUCAACCAUUCAAUACAAGAAAAAAAAGAGCAUAGAACAUUAGACCUUAAAGACAUAUUUGUAAAUGUAAAUAUAUGGUUUCACAUUUGGUUGGUUGCUGGUAGGGAUAAGCAUCGUACCCGUUCGGUAUCGAAAGUAUGGAUACUGAAAAACGGGAAAAGUUGGUAUUGGUACCGGUACCGAAUACAACGGUUCAGUACCGGCUCCAGUUCCCAGUUACGAGCAGGUAUGUAACAUAAUUCUGUUAAUUUGUUUGUAUUCUCGUUUCAACCUCUGCACAUAAUUCUGUUAAUUUGCUUGUAUUCUCAUUUCAUGAAUUUCAAUCUAUCUAUCUACUUUCUUU
RNAcentral lists this long non-coding RNA (967 nucleotides) under Helianthus annuus (common sunflower). Its description in RNAcentral is "hypothetical non coding rna". The record is from RNAcentral. Lineage: Eukaryota; Viridiplantae; Streptophyta; Magnoliopsida; Asterales; Asteraceae.